UUGAAUCAAACAACAACACUACAUAUGGUCUAUUUUCUACAGAAAAGCAAAACAUUUUAUACUUUGGUUUUUAACAGACCAGACUGCUAGUUGAGUACAUCCAACUAAUGUGAUAAAAAAUUACAAGAUCCAAAUAAAAGCAUAAUGCUUAGAAGCAGCUUAUUACCAAAAAUACUAAUCAGAAGUUUUUUAUAACAAGCAAUUACUCUACUCAUUCAGUGUUUUGUAAAUACAUACAUCUAUGAAUGCUUUUAAACUAAACAAAAAGUUAACUAACAGCAGAAAAAAUGACUUCUCCAAGGCUCUAAAUAAGAGUAAUUAAAUGUAUAAAAUAUCACAAACAUCAGUAAGUUGUUAAUGAAAAGCACCUAAAGUCAGAGACAGCUCUUCAGCCGGUUGCAUGCACUAAAAAGAAGAAGUGUGUGUGCUGCACCGUUGGCUGCAGCAGGCAAGAGUCACACUUUUUCAUUUACAUCUUUGCAGUUUUUAGAGGAGAAGAACUGCAUGACAUUUCCUGACAACAUGCAUUGUCAAGGAAUGACAGCCCUCAGUCAAACGGUAUUUGUCGGCAUGGAGGUGACCAGAAAGCAAGAGGCUGUGUGAUUUAAUGUUGGCUUCUCUUUAUGCUGUGUUUUAUGUAGGCUUUUAAAUUACUCAGCUGGAAAUUUUAUUUCAGGUCCAUGUGCUUUUAUGUCUUAUGGAAAUGUAUUUCCCUUCUUAGAGAUUCCUUCUGCUUUUGCCUUUUUGCCAUUUCCAGAUUUUUCAGAUCAUAAAACUCAUGUUCAAAGCAGACAAUAAUAACCUAAGUAAACACAAAAUCAAUUUUUUUAAAUAACGGCUUUACUAUUUAAAUGGGGAAGUAGUUGUUGCAUGUUUUUUAGUACAUGCAACAAAUCCACUUGACACACUGUGAAAAAGUAAUUGCCUCCCUGAGCCUAACAAGAACUGCCAUCAUGCAUUUGUGACAACUGUGAAUGAGUGUGUUACAUGGAGGAAUUAUGACACUCUUCUGAGCAGACGUUUUUUAAUUUAGCAGUAUGUUUUCAAGAACAAA
This is a long non-coding RNA of Xiphophorus couchianus (Monterrey platyfish), 1054 nucleotides long. RefSeq lists it as uncharacterized. The transcript has 3 exons. Lineage: Eukaryota; Metazoa; Chordata; Actinopteri; Cyprinodontiformes; Poeciliidae. The record is from RefSeq and is a predicted model, not a curated record.